RNAcentral lists this long non-coding RNA (1271 nucleotides) under Marmota monax (woodchuck). Lineage: Eukaryota; Metazoa; Chordata; Mammalia; Rodentia; Sciuridae. The record is from RNAcentral.
AGAGCAGGCCAAAGCCUCCAGGCUUCCUCAAGCCAGGGGCAGGAAACCCUGUGUGCAGGGGUUUUGUUUGUUUCUUUUUCCAGCACUGGGAACGGAACCCAGGGCCUUCUUUGUGUUAAGCAAGUUCUCUCCCACUGCGAGGCUUGCCCUCAGCAAUCUCCAGCCCCUUUUAUUUCUUUCUUGAGACAAGGUCUCUCUGAAUCGCCCAGGCUGGCCAUGAGCUGUGACCCUCCUGCCUCAGGCUCCCUAGUAGAUGGGAUGGCAGGCCUGGGUCAUGGGUAUUUUAUCUGAGCUCCUUCUUUUCCAGAUCCUGGUCCCCAGUCUCUCUGGCAUUUCCCGCGUCAAUUCCUGUGCUGCGAGAGAUUAGCAAAUAUGUGUUUCUUAUUGUGGUAAAACAUACAUAACAUAAAAUCCACAGUCUGCACCAUUUCAAAGUGCAAUUCGAUGGCAGGGAGACUGAGGCUGAGCACGUGCCUACCCAUCUGGCCUGCACUUCUCCAAUCCCACCCCAGCCCUGCACUCGGCAUGCGGUCACCUCAGUACUGCAUCUCAUGUUGUGCACAGUGGGGUUUUCAAUUUUAUUGGUUGUAGCCAUCAGUGUUCUCCCUGUGACUCUGUCCCACUCCAGGGCCUGCUUGCCUUACCCUCUACAGAGUUCACUAUUCAGCUGUGUUUGCUCCUGGUUUUCUUCUUUAGGGUUCUGAUCAACUUUAUGGAUGUAUAUUAUGUAUAUUUUACCACGAUAAGAACAUAUUUGCUGCUGGGCACUGUGGCGCACACCUGUAAUCCCAGUGGCUCGAGAGCCUGAGGCAGGAGGAUCACGAGUUUAAAGCCAGCCUCAGCAAAUUAGCAAGGUGCUAAGCAAUUAACUCAGUGAGACCCUGUCUCUAAAUAAAAUACGCAACAGGGCUGGGGAUGUGGCUCAGUGGUUGAGUACCCCUGAGUUCAAUCCCUGGUACUCCCCCCCACCCCGCCAAAAAAAAUUUGGAAAGUCAGCCAGGGCUGGUGGUGCACAUCUAUGAUACCAGAGGCUCAGGAGGGGAGGCAGGAGGAUCACAAGUUCAAGGCCAGCUAUACACACACACACACACACACAUAUACAUAUGCGCCUAUAUAUACAAAGUCCCAUCACCCCAAACAGUUUUCCCUGGUGUUCAUUCUCCCCCACCCUCAUACCUUCAUUCUAGACCACAUCUGCUUCUGGUCAUCACCAUCUGGUUUGGCCUUCUCUAAAGUUUUAAAUAAAUGAGAUCAUCUGGAACACACCCUUA